RNAcentral lists this long non-coding RNA (276 nucleotides) under Elaeis guineensis (African oil palm). RNAcentral describes it as "long non-coding RNA (EGUI_LNC062337)". The record is from RNAcentral. Lineage: Eukaryota; Viridiplantae; Streptophyta; Magnoliopsida; Arecales; Arecaceae.
CUACUGAUCUGCAGAUCCUGCAAUGAAUUAUAAAUAUUAAAAGGACUUUCGAUAUCUAAUACCCAAAUAGUAGAAUCACAAAUUGAGAAAUUACAAGAUGUUAUCAUAUAAUUAUCUUGUUCAGCAACAACUUACUUCUUUCUCGAUCUAUUCGGAUCUAGGGAGGUAAUAUAUUGAGAAUAAUUCUUUUUCCUGUGCCCCUGCUUCUUGCAGUAGAAGCAUUCUGUCUGACUCUAGUCAAACUUGGGUUUCUUGGUCUGACUAGGCUUGGGUGCC